CACAUCCCACGGGAGUCCUCGGCAGAGGACUGAGAUCGGGCUCACGCCGCCCGGACCGUUCGAACCUGUUCGGAUCAUGCCGACGUAGGAAGAAGGAGCUGACUGGCA
Molecule: non-coding RNA, 108 nt
Filed under: Acidipropionibacterium acidipropionici
Lineage: Bacteria; Bacillati; Actinomycetota; Actinomycetes; Propionibacteriales; Propionibacteriaceae
Also listed under: 1 other name
Description: TPP sequence
Rfam family: TPP riboswitch aptamer (THI element)
About the family: Vitamin B(1) in its active form thiamin pyrophosphate (TPP) is an essential coenzyme that is synthesised by coupling of pyrimidine and thiazole moieties in bacteria. The previously detected thiamin-regulatory element, thi box was extended, resulting in a new, highly conserved RNA secondary structure, the THI element, which is widely distributed in eubacteria and also occurs in some archaea. Analysis of operon structures identified a large number of new candidate thiamin-regulated genes, mostly transporters, in various prokaryotic organisms.
Source: RNAcentral